GAGACAUGUAUUCACCAGUAUUAUCUAGACAUAUAGUUUUUAUUAUGAAAAAGGGGCUCAUAGCCGUUUUACUGGUGAUGGCCUAAUGAGUUUCCCUUGUGUACAUGCUACACACGUGAGAUUCUUUGGGAUAACUCUUCUUAUCUUUUAAUGUGUACCUUUUGAAUAUCAAUUUUCGCAUCAUGUUUGGAACAUGAUGGCCUAUCCGGUCGUGCCAUAAAGUGUAUAUUUUCGCAGGCUUUUAGCCUCUAUCAUAUUGAUCUAUGCAUAGUCUAGGUCAGUAGAGAAUGCAGGUAUAGUCUUUAGGACUUAUUAUGGCCUUGGGCGAUUUUAUACAUAUAUCUGAAGGAACUAU
This 355-nucleotide long non-coding RNA is filed under the name Brassica napus (rape). Its description in RNAcentral is "long non-coding RNA (BNAP_LNC026189)". The record is from RNAcentral. Lineage: Eukaryota; Viridiplantae; Streptophyta; Magnoliopsida; Brassicales; Brassicaceae.